This 88-nucleotide ribosomal RNA is filed under the name Synechococcus sp. MED-G70. RNAcentral's name for it is "partial 16S ribosomal RNA". It matches the Rfam family "Bacterial small subunit ribosomal RNA", at positions 1 to 102 of the family's 1533-position model. The record is from RNAcentral. Lineage: Bacteria; Bacillati; Cyanobacteriota; Cyanophyceae; Synechococcales; Synechococcaceae.
CAACGGAGAGUUUGAUCCUGGCUCAGGAUGAACGCUGGCGGCGUGCUUAACACAUGCAAGUCGAACGAACCUUCGGGUUAGUGGCGGA